Molecule: small nuclear RNA, 80 nt
Filed under: Cervus elaphus hippelaphus
Lineage: Eukaryota; Metazoa; Chordata; Mammalia; Artiodactyla; Cervidae
Source: RNAcentral
GUGCUUGCUUCAGUACAAAUACUAUUAAUAAAAUUGGAACAAUGCAGAGAAGAUUAGCAUGGCUUUGUGCAAAAAUAAUA